UGGGGAAUAUUGCGCAAUGGGCGAAAGCCUGACGCAGCCACGCCGCGUGAGUGAUGAAGGCCCUAGGGUUGUAAAGCUCUGUCGGGAGGGAAGAAGAUCUGACGGUACCUCCCAAGAAAGCACCGGCUAACUCCGUGCCAGCAGCCGCGGUAAUACGGAGGGUGCAAGCGUUGCUCGGAAUCACUGGGCGUAAAGCGGACGCAGGCGGAUCAGCAAGUCAGGCGUGAAAGCCCGGGGCUCAACCCCGGAAUUGCGCUUGAAACUGCUGGCCUGGAAUACGGGAGAGGGAAGCGGAAUUCCUGGUGUAGAGGUGAAAUUCGUAGAUAUCAGGAGGAACACCGGUGGCGAAAGCGGCUUCCUGGCCCGAUAUUGACGCUCAUCUCCGAAAGCGUGGGUAGCAAACAGGAUUAGAUACCCCUGUAGUCC
This 426-nucleotide ribosomal RNA is filed under the name uncultured prokaryote. RNAcentral describes it as "bacterial SSU rRNA". It matches the Rfam family "Bacterial small subunit ribosomal RNA", at positions 355 to 796 of the family's 1533-position model. The record is from RNAcentral.